UUGGUGCCUGGUCACGUGGCGGAAGCAGAGUGGCUGACUUUUGCAAGAUCUCUUUUGCUUUUGCUUUCCUGGAGCUGCCUGGAAGACCUCCUGCUUGCCGGGCUUGAGGACUAGAAAGCUAGAACUACUUCUGUUCCUGGGUUACAACAUUGGUAAGCAGGAUGGAUUGUGUGAAAUAUUAAAAGCUUUUAAAAAGUU
Molecule: long non-coding RNA, 198 nt
Organism: Crotalus tigris (Tiger rattlesnake)
Lineage: Eukaryota; Metazoa; Chordata; Lepidosauria; Squamata; Viperidae
Exons: 2
Source: RefSeq, a predicted model, not a curated record